RNAcentral lists this ribosomal RNA (633 nucleotides) under Corynebacterium glutamicum. RNAcentral's name for it is "bacterial SSU rRNA". It matches the Rfam family "Bacterial small subunit ribosomal RNA", at positions 64 to 706 of the family's 1533-position model. The record is from RNAcentral. Lineage: Bacteria; Bacillati; Actinomycetota; Actinomycetes; Mycobacteriales; Corynebacteriaceae.
GAACGCUGAAACCGGAGCUUGCUUUGGUGGAUGAGUGGCGAACGGGUGAGUYACACGUGGGUHAUCUGCCCUACACUUUGGGAUAAGCCUGGGAAACUGGGUCUAAUACCGAAUAUUCACACCACCGUAGGGCUGGUGUGGCAAAGCUUUAUGCGGUGUGGGAUGAGCCUGCGGCCUAUCAMCUUGUUGGUGGGGUAAUGGCCUACCAAGGCGUCGACGGGUAGCCGGCCUGAGAGGGUGUACGGCCACAUUGGGACUGAGACACGGCCCAGACUCCUACGGGAGGCAGCAGUGGGGAAUAUUGCACAAUGGGCGCAACCGAAUGCAGCGACGCCGCGUGGGGGAUGAAGGCCUUCGGGUUGUAAACUCCUUUCGCUAGGGACGAAGCCUUAUGGUGACGGUACCUGGAGAAGAAGCACCGGCUAACUACGUGCCAACAGCCGCGGUAAUACGUAGGGUGCGAGCCUUGUCCGGAAUUACUGGGCGUAAAGAGCUCGUAGGUUGUUUGUCGCGUCGUCUGUUAAAUCCCGGGGCUUAACUUCGGGCGUUCAGGCGAUACGGGCAUAACUUGAGUUCUGUAGGGGAGACUGGAAUUCCUGGUGUAGCGGUGAAAUGCGCAGAUAUCAGGAGGAA